ACGAACGCUGGCGGCGUGCCUAAUACAUGCAAGUCGAGCGGAAUGAUGAAGAAGCUUGCUUCUUCUGAUUUUAGCGGCGGACGGGUGAGUAACACGUGGGCAACCUACCUUGUAGAUUGGGAUAACUCCGGGAAACCGGGGCUAAUACCGAAUAAUCCAUUUUGCUUCAUGGCGAGAUGUUGAAAGACGGUUUCGGCUGUCACUACAAGAUGGGCCCGCGGCGCAUUAGCUAGUUGGUAGGGUAAUGGCCUACCAAGGCGACGAUGCGUAGCCGACCUGAGAGGGUGAUCGGCACACUGGGACUGAGACACGGCCCAGACUCCUACGGGAGGCAGCAGUAGGGAAUCUUCCACAAUGGACGAAAGUCUGAUGGAGCAACGCCGCGUGAGUGAAGAAGGUUUUCGGAUCGUAAAACUCUGUUGUAAGGGAAGAACACGUACGAGAGUAACUGCUCGUACCUUGACGGUACCUUAUUAGAAAGCCACGGCUAACUACGUG
RNAcentral lists this ribosomal RNA (498 nucleotides) under uncultured bacterium. Its description in RNAcentral is "bacterial SSU rRNA". It matches the Rfam family "Bacterial small subunit ribosomal RNA", at positions 29 to 507 of the family's 1533-position model. The record is from RNAcentral.